RNAcentral lists this non-coding RNA (58 nucleotides) under Amorphochlora amoebiformis. The record is from RNAcentral. Lineage: Eukaryota; Cercozoa; Chlorarachniophyceae.
UUGGUGGAUCUGGUGCCUGAGCCGGUUUUUGGUGCGAGGUUUCUGCGAAGACCAAGCA